AACGAACGCUGGCGGCAUGCCUAACACAUGCAAGUCGAACGAGACCUUCGGGUCUAGUGGCGCACGGGUGCGUAACGCGUGGGAACCUGCCCUUAGGUUCGGAAUAACUCCCCGAAAGGGGUGCUAAUACCGGAUAAUGUCUUCGGACCAAAGAUUUAUCGCCUUUGGAUGGGCCCGCGUUGGAUUAGCUAGUUGGUAGGGUAAAAGCCUACCAAGGCGACGAUCCAUAGCUGGUCUGAGAGGAUGAUCAGCCACACUGGGACUGAGACACGGCCCAGACUCCUACGGGAGGCAGCAGUGGGGAAUAUUGGACAAUGGGCGAAAGCAUGAUCCAGCAAUGCCGCGUGAGUGAUGAAGGCAUUAGGGUUGUAAAGCUCUUUUACCCGGGAUGAUAAUGACAGUACCGGGAGAAUAAGCUCCGGCUAACUCCGUG
RNAcentral lists this ribosomal RNA (433 nucleotides) under uncultured bacterium. Its description in RNAcentral is "partial 16S ribosomal RNA". It matches the Rfam family "Bacterial small subunit ribosomal RNA", at positions 29 to 507 of the family's 1533-position model. The record is from RNAcentral.